This 253-nucleotide ribosomal RNA is filed under the name uncultured bacterium. RNAcentral's name for it is "partial 16S ribosomal RNA". It matches the Rfam family "Bacterial small subunit ribosomal RNA", at positions 524 to 776 of the family's 1533-position model. The record is from RNAcentral.
UACGUAGGGGGCAAGCGUUGUCCGGAAUCAUUGGGCGUAAAGAGCGUGUAGGCGGCCCGGUAAGUCCGCUGUGAAAGUCCAGGGCUCAACCCUGGGAUGCCGGUGGAUACUGUCGGGCUCGAGUCCGGAAGAGGAGUGUGGAAUUCCCGGUGUAGCGGUGAAAUGCGCAGAUAUCGGGAGGAACACCAAUGGCGAAGGCAGCUUGCUGGGACGGUACUGACGCUGAGACGCGAAAGCGUGGGGAGCAAACAGG